Molecule: unclassified non-coding RNA, 513 nt
Filed under: Hevea brasiliensis (rubber tree)
Lineage: Eukaryota; Viridiplantae; Streptophyta; Magnoliopsida; Malpighiales; Euphorbiaceae
Source: RNAcentral
GAAAAACGUCUCUACAACACUUGGAAUUUGCUUUCCUAGCUUGUAAACAAAUACAUACCCACCUAACUGCCAUAAAUAGGCUUUCGUAAUUAUCUGGUCCGGUUGGAGAUGCAACUAUUAACUCAAUGAACAUAGUAAUACAAACAUAACAAUUAGCAGUACAUAAUUGGCCAAGAGUUUGUGCUGUCUUCCUUGACCAUACUUCAUUUUUGUAGACCAAUAAAUGGUCUAAGACCGGCUGCCAGAAAGUUGUGCAAGAAUAAUAGCCAGUAUGAUGAAGAUGACAACAAUCAGAACUGGACUGUAAUUAGGCUCGUUCCUGAUUAUGUAAGAUUUCCUUUUGUUCAAGGUUCCCGAGUCUCUGCAAGUUUUCAGGAUGGCAUCAAGCCUCUUCAAAGUUUUUGUUGCAUUUGGAUCGUUAUUAUUAACCUUGGAUUUCAGCAUACAAGAAAAGUCAAAAAAAGCACCAUAUACAUCUGCCAUAGUCUUGGUCCGGUCAAUAACCUUAGCAGU